Molecule: long non-coding RNA, 1494 nt
Organism: Syngnathus typhle (broad-nosed pipefish)
Lineage: Eukaryota; Metazoa; Chordata; Actinopteri; Syngnathiformes; Syngnathidae
Exons: 3
Source: RefSeq, a predicted model, not a curated record
UCAACAGCCCUUGAAGGCAUCUUCAAAAAGGUAUCAACGUCACCUAGUGGACAUUAGUAUAUAACAGUUAAGUGUUAAUGCGCGUCUGCCUGACAGAUGCGCGUUUCUGGAUUCGAUUCAGGACUUGGCUCCCGAACUAUCACAAUCAUGACAACAAUAAAAUACAGUACGUAGUUGGCAUAGAAUUAAUUAAAAAAAAUUAAUAAAAAUAAAUGAAUAUUUGAAAUACAUCAGUCUGUGUACAAUGUAUGAAAAGAAUGUACAAGUUUCACUUUUUCAAUGGAAUUACACAUUUUUGAUGAUAUUCUAAUUGAAUGUACGCCACUGUAAUACAAAAUACAAAACGGCUUUGAAAAGAGACCUUACGGAGGUUCUCCAGCAGGGGGUGCUAGUGAUCCCGGGAUGCGUCAUGCGCCUACCUGUAAGAGCUCUCCAGUUCAAAUUUACAGUGAGCACCUGAGGCGCAGUCGUUUUACAUUCAUUUUUUCAAUUUCCGUUUUUACAUUUCGUUUUACAAUGGAGGAUUACAUAUGCAAACGAUUCUCAACUAUGGAUUUUCGGUCGAAGCAGGAGAUCAUCAGUAAAGGAAGAGCAACUCCGGAGUUAAAAGGUUUGAUUCGGACAACGGGACUUCGGAGCAUCUUUUCAAACGGAGUGCGCUCAUAAAGGCCUCCCAGCCAGCACCCUUCUGUAUUCAACUGUAUUCAGCUGACUGACGGCAGCAACUUUAGGAGGGACUCCCAGACUUCCCUCUCUCCAGCCACCUCAUUGCAGGGGAUCCCACGACGUUCCCAGGCCAUGUAUUGUUUGUAUUAGACACCUUCAAGUUCCUGGGAACCACAAUCUCUCGGGACCUGAAAUGGACCGGCCACAUAGACUCUGUCCGGAAGAAGGCCCAGCAGAGGCUGUACUUCCUGAGACAGCUCAAGAAGUUCAACCUGCCGCGAGAGCUUCUGAAGACCUUCUACACUGCCAUCGUCCAGUCUGUCCUCUGCACCUCCAUCACUGUCUGGUUUGGAUCGGCCUCCAAACAAGACAAGCACAGGCUACAACGGACAAUCAGAACUGCAGAAAAGAUCAUUGGAAUCAACCUCCCAUCUAUCCGAGACUUGUACCUGUCCAGGACCAGGAAUCGGGCAAGGAACAUCUCUACAGACCCUUCUCACCCGGGUUGCAGUCUGUUUGAACUACUCCCCUCCGGACGGUGUUAUAGAGCUCGGUACGCCAAAACCAGCAGACACAGAGACAGCUUCUUCCCCCAGGCUGUUGCUCUGAUGAACUCACACCACUCAUAGAGUCUCAGAGACAUUACUGUGCAAUAACAUCCUGCUCCUCGCACCUUUUUGAAUUUGUCUACACUGUUUUUGCCAUUAUUCACAUGUCCUGAAUGUUGUUAGUCACCUAAAUGUUGAACAGAGGGUGUGUUUCUACCGAAGUCAAAUUCCUUGUUUGGCACGCUCAAACAUGGCGAAUAAAAAACUCUUGAAUCUUGAA